Molecule: ribosomal RNA, 253 nt
Filed under: uncultured bacterium
Lineage: Bacteria
Description: partial 16S ribosomal RNA
Rfam family: Bacterial small subunit ribosomal RNA
Source: RNAcentral
UACGUAGGGGGCUAGCGUUGUCCGGAAUCAUUGGGCGUAAAGAGCGUGUAGGCGGCCCGGUAAGUCCGCUGUGAAAGUCGGGGGCUCAACCCUCGAAUGCCGGUGGAUACUGUCGGGCUAGAGUGCGGAAGAGGCGAGUGGAAUUCCUGGUGUAACGGUGAAAUGCGCAGAUAUCAGGAGGAACACCAAUUGCGAAGGCAGCUCGCUGGGACGUAACUGACGCUGAGACGCGAAAGCGUGGGGAGCAAACAGG